Long non-coding RNA from Coturnix japonica (Japanese quail), 1835 nucleotides. The record is from Ensembl. NCBI's taxonomy places the organism in Eukaryota, Metazoa, Chordata, Aves, Galliformes, Phasianidae.
UUUUAAGCUUUUAUAGUUUCAGUGGAAAAAAGAAGUAGUAAUUGCAAUACUUCAUAUGAAUUGUUAACCCCUACAUACAAGAAAAUGGCCACAAUAAUGAUCUUAAUGAAAGAUCACAACAUUGUACCAUAUCAGGCACUAUCAUCCCAAACAUGUUGGAAAAAAACACAUUAGCAGAAAUAAGUUGUAUUAUUUAUAAAGGCUCUCUUAUUUCUUCAUUAAACAGCAAGUCCUGAGUUGAGCAAGGUCUUUGGACAGAGUCUGCUGAGCUGUGUGUUGAAUUCCUGUGCUGAACCUGGCCUUCAGUUCAGCAGCUGAAGAACUAUCAUCCAUUUCAGAGCUUAGCAUCAAACUCUCGCUUGUGAGUGAAACACACUCAGAAUUUUUAUUGCUGCUAAAUGCUGCUGCAAUGCAUAUGGCAAUUGGUAAGAACAGAUAAUAACGCUCCUAGAAGGCAACAAAAGCCCAGGACUGGUGACACAUCAAAGUGCUACUUAAAAUUAGACAUAAAAAUGAAGUACACCAGCCUCAUCUGUGAUUUCUGUUUGUGAUUCUCAGCCACUUCACCCUCGGAUGUAAAUGCCAUUAUCCUCUCCAACCCCCAUAUGCUGACCAGAAGCACUGCAGGGCUGCUACAUCUGAAAUCUCACCCCACUGACAGCCCAACCUGUGGCUUGAGGUGAAGCACCGCUGUGAUGAGAGUCUUGUGAUGCCAACAUUCCCCCAUAAACCCUGACUCUGCAGAACACCAUUCAGUGAUUGAGGCCAUCUUUUCAUAAAGCCCCAUCAGCACUCGGUGUGGAGUUCCAAGCGUGGCUUGCUGUGAGUUGUGGGACCAGCAGCGGGGAAGAUGUCGGACCACAAACGAAACUAUUGGCUUUACAUCUGUAGAAUGUAGUACGAUGAGUAUCAUCCGUCUACUCAGCCAAGUGUUGUGAUUAUUGAGUGAAUGUCAGUGACCUUUAAACAACCGGACAGCAACGGUUCCAUUUCAAAGGUACUUCUGGACACUUUGGAUGACGGAUCUUCUUUUUUCCACCUCUGUUAUGCUGUGACAUUGCCCUACGGGUCAAAAAAAGGUUCCGGGCUUGAGAAAAACGAUGCCAGCUGUUUCUGAACACGGCAUGUAUUAUAACAUUAUGCCUCUGAAGUAGCGUCAGCUCCUCAGAGCGCGCCCAGCUGAAAUGACAAGCCCUGUGAAGAGCAAAGCCUUUGCCUGGCGUUAUUUCUGACUCUGAUUUACCUAGAUUAAGAAAUAACCGUGUUUUGAAAGAACUCGGCUUGAUUUAUCGCUAGGUGAGCGCCUGAGCCUCCAGCAGGAGCAGCUGCCAGGUGGGUCAGGGCUGGCUCCUGUGCCAGCAGAGUGCACCGAACCAUUGGGGAGCACCAGCAGCCGCACCUUGUGCAGGAGGAGAGCCAGCAGCACCGACCUGCCUGCUUUUCUUUUUUCCCCCCCAAGGCAGGCAAUUAAAUUUGAAAUAGGAACGCUGUGUUUGCAGAGCUGAGCGUGCUAGCACGGUGACAUUUCAAAAGCUGAGAGUACGCUUCCCAUCUGGGUGGUCAGCGUGUGAGUUGAUGUAUGCACACAUACACCCGUGUGGACACAGCGCACAGAGGUGAGGUACGGACGGGCUCAGACUAAUGUUAGAAAUCCGUGUCCUCGGUUAAAUGCUCUAAGCUAUCGAUAUGUGCCAGCUUUUCCCACUCGAGACGUGUUACCCGUUACCAAAUGCAGCCCCGUGAACGCUGCAAAAUGAAUUAACUGCCUGAAGGGCUGAUCGGGGUCUGUGCUGUAAGUGAAUAAACGAGUCUCCAAGCUCUUCCCGUUCUUAGCA